CUUUUCUGUGGGCUUGCCUGCGAUGCAGGCACCUCGGUGUUUCAGGUAAACCCAGUUGAUGCCAUCGCAGGCAAGCCCGCUCCCACA
This 87-nucleotide unclassified non-coding RNA is filed under the name Pseudomonas antarctica. The record is from RNAcentral. Lineage: Bacteria; Pseudomonadati; Pseudomonadota; Gammaproteobacteria; Pseudomonadales; Pseudomonadaceae.